RNAcentral lists this ribosomal RNA (460 nucleotides) under uncultured bacterium. RNAcentral describes it as "partial 16S ribosomal RNA". It matches the Rfam family "Bacterial small subunit ribosomal RNA", at positions 338 to 795 of the family's 1533-position model. The record is from RNAcentral.
CCUACGGGAGGCUGCAGUGAGGAAUAUUGGUCAAUGGACGAGAGUCUGAACCAGCCAAGCAGCGUGAAGGAUGACUGCCCUAUGGGUUGUAAACUUCUUUUAUAUGGGAAUAAAAUGUUCCACGUGUGGGAUUUUGUAUGUACCAUAUGAAUAAGGAUCGGCUAACUCCGUGCCAGCAGCCGCGGUAAUACGGAGGAUCCGAGCGUUAUCCGGAUUUAUUGGGUUUAAAGGGAGCGUAGGUGGGUUGUUAAGUCAGUUGUGAAAGUUUGCGGCUCAACCGUAAAAUUGCAGUUGAAACUGGCAGUCUAGAGUACAAUAGAGGUGGGCGGAAUUCGUGGUGUAGCGGUGAAAUGCUUAGAUAUCACGAAGAACUCCGAUUGCGAAGGCAGCUCACUGGACUGCAACUGACACUGAGGCUCGAAAGUGUGGGUAUCAAACAGGAUUAGAUACCCCUGUAGUC